RNAcentral lists this ribosomal RNA (235 nucleotides) under uncultured bacterium. Its description in RNAcentral is "partial 16S ribosomal RNA". It matches the Rfam family "Bacterial small subunit ribosomal RNA", at positions 99 to 334 of the family's 1533-position model. The record is from RNAcentral.
CGCACGGGUGAGUAACACGUAUCCAACCUGCCGUCUACUCUUGGACAGCCUUCUGAAAGGAAGAUUAAUACAAGAUGGCAUCAUGAGUCCGAAUGUUCACAUGAUUAAAGGUAUUCCGGUAGACGAUGGGGAUGCGUUCCAUUAGAUAGUAGGCGGGGUAACGGCCCACCUAGUCUCCGAUGGAUAGGGGUUCUGAGAGGAAGGUCCCCCACAUUGGAACUGAGACACGGUCCAA